UCAUCUCCGGGGGUAGAGCACUGUUUCGGCAAGGGGGUCAUCCCGACUUACCAACCCGAUGCAAACUGCGAAUACCGGAGAAUGUUAUCACGGGAGACACACGGCGGGUGCUAACGUCCGUCGUGAAGAGGGAAACAACCCAGACCGCCAGCUAAGGUCCCAAAGUCAUGGUUAAGUGGGAAACGAUGUGGGAAGGCCCAGACAGCCAGGAUGUUGGCUUAGAAGCAGCCAUCAUUUAAAGAAAGCGUAAUAGCUCACUGGUCGAGUCGGCCUGCGCGGAAGAUGUAACGGGGCUAAACCAUGCACCGAAGCUGCGGCAGCGACACUAUGUGUUGUUGGGUAGGGGAGCGUUCUGUAAGCCUGUGAAGGUGUGCUGUGAGGCAUGCUGGAGGUAUCAGAAGUGCGAAUGCUGACAUAAGUAACGAUAAAGCGGGUGAAAAGCCCGCUCGCCGGAAGACCAAGGGUUCCUGUCCAACGUUAAUCGGGGCAGGGUGAGUCGACCCCUAAGGCGAGGCCGAAAGGCGUAGUCGAUGGGAAACAGGUUAAUAUUCCUGUACUUGGUGUUACUGCGAAGGGGGGACGGAGAAGGCUAUGUUGGCCGGGCGACGGUUGUCCCGGUUUAAGCGUGUAGGCUGGUUUUCCAGGCAAAUCCGGAAAAUCAAGGCUGAGGCGUGAUGACGAGGCACUACGGUGCUGAAGCAACAAAUGCCCUGCUUCCAGGAAAAGCCUCUAAGCAUCAGGUAACAUUAAAUCGUACCCCAAACCGACACAGGUGGUCAGGUAGAGAAUACCAAGGCGCUUGAGAGAACUCGGGUGAAGGAACUAGGCAAAAUGGUGCCGUAACUUCGGGAGAAGGCACGCUGAUAUGUAGGUGAAGUCCCUCGCGGAUGGAGCUGAAAUCAGUCGAAGAUACCAGCUGGCUGCAACUGUUUAUUAAAAACACAGCACUGUGCAAACACGAAAGUGGACGUAUACGGUGUGACGCCUGCCCGGUGCCGGAAGGUUAAUUGAUGGGGUUAGCGGUAACGCGAAGCUCUUGAUCGAAGCCCCGGUAAACGGCGGCCGUAACUAUAACGGUCCUAAGGUAGCGAAAUUCCUUGUCGGGUAAGUUCCGACCUGCACGAAUGGCGUAAUGAUGGCCAGGCUGUCUCCACCCGAGACUCAGUGAAAUUGAACUCGCUGUGAAGAUGCAGUGUACCCGCGGCAAGACGGAAAGACCCCGUGAACCUUUACUAUAGCUUGACACUGAACAUUGAGCCUUGAUGUGUAGGAUAGGUGGGAGGCUUUGAAGUGUGGACGCCAGUCUGCAUGGAGCCGACCUUGAAAUACCACCCUUUAAUGUUUGAUGUUCUAACGUUGACCCGUAAUCCGGGUUGCGGACAGUGUCUGGUGGGUAGUUUGACUGGGGCGGUCUCCUCCUAAAGAGUAACGGAGGAGCACGAAGGUUGGCUAAUCCUGGUCGGACAUCAGGAGGUUAGUGCAAUGGCAUAAGCCAGCUUGACUGCGAGCGUGACGGCGCGAGCAGGUGCGAAAGCAGGUCAUAGUGAUCCGGUGGUUCUGAAUGGAAGGGCCAUCGCUCAACGGAUAAAAGGUACUCCGGGGAUAACAGGCUGAUACCGCCCAAGAGUUCAUAUCGACGGCGGUGUUUGGCACCUCGAUGUCGGCUCAUCACAUCCUGGGGCUGAAGUAGGUCCCAAGGGUAUGGCUGUUCGCCAUUUAAAGUGGUACGCGAGCUGGGUUUAGAACGUCGUGAGACAGUUCGGUCCCUAUCUGCCGUGGGCGCUGGAGAACUGAGGGGGGCUGCUCCUAGUACGAGAGGACCGGAGUGGACGCAUCACUGGUGUUCGGGUUGUCAUGCCAAUGGCACUGCCCGGUAGCUAAAUGCGGAAGAGAUAAGUGCUGAAAGCAUCUAAGCACGAAACUUGCC
Molecule: ribosomal RNA, 1927 nt
Filed under: Escherichia coli
Lineage: Bacteria; Pseudomonadati; Pseudomonadota; Gammaproteobacteria; Enterobacterales; Enterobacteriaceae
Description: partial 23S ribosomal RNA
Rfam family: Bacterial large subunit ribosomal RNA
Source: RNAcentral